Molecule: long non-coding RNA, 3598 nt
Filed under: Salmo salar (Atlantic salmon)
Lineage: Eukaryota; Metazoa; Chordata; Actinopteri; Salmoniformes; Salmonidae
Description: lncRNA (ENSSSAG00000113535.1)
Source: RNAcentral
UUCAUUCAGAAAAAGCACACUUUAUAAUUUAUUUACUUUGUUUCUGGGCAAGAGUCAAAGUUAACAUUUUGGCACAGAUAUGUUUCAUUUCAUUUUCCCCGAACAACCCGUCGAAUCGUAGAUAAAAAAAAAUAAUAAUAAGCGUUUCAAAGCAAAAAAAUUGUAAUAAAAAAAGACAUUUCCUAUGAUGUGUUGUGAUAGUUAGAAAUUGAAACGGUUUAAGUGACAGAGAGCAUAAUAACUUAAACAACAUCGUCGACAAGCAGCUCAAGCGCUCUAAUAAAACAAUGUUCAACUGCAGCUGCACUCAGUGUCCCAGGCAAGCAGCUGGUACCACACUAGUCAAGGGUUAUGAGGCUAGCAGCUGGUACCACACUAGUCAAGGGUUAUGAGGCUAGCAGCUGGUACCACACUAGUCAAGGGUUAUGAGGGUAGCAGCUGGUACCACACUAGUCAAGGGUUAUGAGGCUAGCAGCUGGUACCACACUAGUCAAGGGUUAUGAGGCUAGCAGCUGGUACCACACUAGUCAAGGGUUAUGAGGCUAGCAGCUGGUACCACACUAGUCAAGGGUUAUGAGGCUAGCAGCUGGUACCACACUAGUCAAGGGUUUUAUCCCUAAUCGCACCCUUUUCCCUUACAGUCCUCUACAGGCCUAAGGUGGGCCCAAAACAUUGCAUUAUAAAGGGAAUAGGGUGGGCCCUGGUCCAGAACAGGGAAUAGGGUGGGCCCUGCUCCAGAACAGGGAAUAGGGUGGGCCCUUGUCCAGAACAAUGCACUAUAAAGGGAAUAAGGUGGGCCCUGUUCCAGAACAAUGCACUAUAAAGGGAAUAGGGUGUCAUUUGGGACAAAACCAAUCGUUUCUUCUUACAAGGCACAACAUCCCUCAUGUUAAACACAUCACCUUUACUUUGCUCAUUGGAGAGUUUGUGGUUUUAACACUACAAUAAAAACUGAAUGACGGUGCCAGAGAUAUAUUCACAGUAGGCUAUAUCCCUAUGGGGGCCACUGGAUUGUGCUCUCUAAGGACUGUAUGGAGGGAAGAACAGUAAGUAUGUAUUUGUUAGUUAACUGAUUGUUUACGUCGCCACAUUAUAGACACAGUAUAUCAAUGAGCUCGGGCUCUAAAUUAAGAUUUAAUGUGAAUCUUUGGCCAGUACCAGUCCAUUAUACAUUUAACUAAUUUAUAAUUAAAACAACUCCGUUACAUAAAUACAGAAUAUAACAGUGGGUUAAUCUCACCUAUGUAUUAUUAAGAUAGGUGUGUGUUAAAGGUAGAACACGGGGAUAUUGGUGUCUCUCUACCGGAUAACAAGUAGAUGAAUUAGGAGAUGAGGUGGUAGGGUACUCUCACCGAACAUUAUAUUGGUUUCUAUAUCAGAUUAGACACGACACUACAUGUAUAUAUAUGUGUGUAUGUGUGUGUGUGUGUGUGUGUGUGUGUGUGUGUGUGUGUGUGUGUGUGUGUGUGUGUGUGUGUGUGUGUGUGUGUGUGUGUGUGUGUGUGUGUGUGUCACCUUUGACAGCUGUCCACCCGCUUUACACAACAAAAGAAGCCCAUUAAACCCUAAAUCAGCAUGAAUCCCUCUAAAGCCCAUUAAACCCUAAAAUCAGCAUGAAUCCCUCUAAAGCCCAUUAAACCCUAAAUCAGCAUGAAUCCCUCUAAAGCCCAUUCAAUCCUAAAUCAGCAUGAAUCCCUCUACAGCCCAUUCAACCCUAAAUCAGCAUGAAUCCCUCUAAAGCCCACUAAACCCUAAAUCAGCAUGAAUCCCUCUAAAGCCCAUUAAACCCUAAAAUCAGCAUGAAUCCCUCUAAAGCCCAUUAAACCCUAAAUCAUCAUGAAUCCCUCUAAAGCCCAUUAAACCCUAAAAUCAGCAUGAAUCCCUCUAAAGCCCAUUAAACCCUAAAAUCAGCAUGAAUCCCUCUAAAGCCCAUUAAACCCUAAAAUCAGCAUGAAUCCCUCUAAAUGUAACAGUUACAGUAUAAUACAUAACAGACUAAGGCAAUGGAUGACGUCAUCACAUUAAAAGACAUUUUAACUCUCAUAUAAACUUUGGUCAUUUUUAAUAAAAACAAUUCUUCUGUAAGUUGGCAAAGUUUUUUAAAAGUUUGUUUUUUAAAGUAGCAUUUACAAAGAAAAUGUCUUCUGUACUUUUAUAUGAGAGAAACAUUGAUAAAUAUAAACCAACGUUAGACAUGUUUAGCCUUUACAUACGGCUGCAUUGGGUUGAAACAGGACAUAAAGGACACACAGAGAGAGAGAUUAAAAGGUCAAGUGCUGCUUUUAAAGUCACUAAGGAGGGAAGGGAGAUUCUUUAGGGUGUAUUUCCCAAAUCGCAUUCCCUAUUGCCAAUAUAGUGCACUACUUUUGCCCAGAGCCCCAUAGGCCCUAUAGUAGCGCACUAUAUAGGGGUUAGGGGUGCCAAUUAGGAGGCAGGCUAUGAUUGACGUGCUCUGACUGUACAUGAUGAGAGAAACAGAGAAAGUCCUCCCUGAUGAAUCGCAUGGACUAGUGGGUUAAAAAUACAUUAUAUUCAAUAAUAUGGCUCCCCCUUAGGCUUCCUGACGUCCAGGUUCAUCACUACAGAGGGGAUGAGAGGAAUAUUCAAUACUGUCUCUCCCCCUUAGGCUUCCUGACGUCCAGGUUCAUCACUACAGAGGGGAUGAGAGGAAUAUUCAAUACUGUCUCUCCCUCUUAGGCUUCCUCACGUCCAGGUUCAUCACUACAGAGGGGAUGAGAGGAGUAGGUCUGCAUAGCCUGGUCUAAAAACGGCACAAACAGAUCUGGGACCAGGCUAUGGUCAUCAAGCAUCGAUGCUGGCUCUGGGCUGGGGUUUGGGAAAUGUAUGAAAUUAGAGACUUUCAUGGAUCUGAUAAUCUCUUGGCCUGGUCCCGUGGCCUGGGUCCCGUGGCCUGGUCCCGUGGCCUGGUCCCGUGGCCUGGUCCCGUGGCCUGGUCCCGUGGCCUGGCCUGGUCCCGUGGCCUGACCUGGUCCCGUGGCCUGACCUGGUCCCCUGGCCUGGGUCCCGUGGCCUGGUCCCGUGGCCUAGGUCCCGUGGCCAAGGUCCCGUGGCCUAGGUCCCGUGGCCUGGUCUCAUAUCUGCUUGUGUCUUGUCAACUCCUAUGGUUGUUGUUAUUGCUGUUUGGCCUGACCAUGACCAUAGGAGUUGGGUAACAGAGCACAAACCAAUCAGGGACCAGGAUCCGGUCAUCAAUCAACAACACUCUCUCUGGGCUGGUGUUUAGGACGUUUAUAAAGUUGGUGCUUUCAGCCCUAUCUUCUCCCCUCUUUGAUCUCUCUCUCUCUCUACCUCCCCCCCUCUCUCCCUCCCUCCCUCUCUGCCUCCCGAGUGGCCUCCCAGUGCUAGAGGCGUCACUACAGACCCUGGUUCGAUUCCAGGCUUUAUCACAACCGGCCGUGAUUGGGAGUCCCAUAGGCACAAUUGGCCCAUAGGCACAAUUGGCCCAGCGUCGUCCAGGUUUGGGGAGGGUUUGGCCGGAGGGGCUUUACUUUGCUCAUCGCGCUCUAGCGACUCCUUGUGGCGGGCCGGGUGCCUGCGGGCAGACCCGGUCGUCAGUUGAACUGUGUUUCCUAAGACA